Molecule: long non-coding RNA, 683 nt
Organism: Drosophila willistoni
Lineage: Eukaryota; Metazoa; Arthropoda; Insecta; Diptera; Drosophilidae
Exons: 3
Source: RefSeq, a predicted model, not a curated record
GAUUUCCUUUGCUCCUUUAAAAGUGUCAAAACAGGACAGUGACAGGAUUCAAAGACUUCAUUUUGUAUUCAAGUCAAAAGGGUAGUUUUUAAUACUCAGCCUAAAACAACGAAACAGGGGAAACCCCGAAAACGGAUUAUUGUGCUGACCAGUGUGAACGAUUUAGCGUUUUAGAUAUUAAAAAAUUAAAAUAUAUUGGUAAAUUGUUUCGGGUCUUCGGGUCCACAAAAGUUCAAAUUAAAUCAUAUUCGAGUGUGUUGUUCUUCAACCUGCUAUUUAUUACUUUUUUGUAUAGUUUAUAUAACAAACUUAAAUAACAUCAUCGACGAAUCGAUCCGGAACACCUAACUAUGGGAAAAUCAACCAAAACUGGAAGAAAGGCCACAGUCUAUUUAGGAUCAAUAACAAAUAGGCAACUAUAAGGAUAAAUGUGAAUAAAUAAUAACACGAUUUCUAGAGUAUAUAUACAUAUAAAUGUACACAUAAAUUUGCUCAAUUCGCCGCCAAAAGAACGUUUUCAUGGAAUCAAAACAGGAUACCCAAAAUAAUGGAAAUAAUAGUGAAUAUCAAUUCGAGUAAAAUUUUACGAAUAAUAAAUUCACCUGAUAAGCUAAAGGGACUUCAAUUCGUGUUUUCAUUAAAGUCACAAAUAUAUCACAUUUGAUUUACACAAGUUUUUUUUU